CUUGGCCCCUCCUUGCCCCAGAGCAUCAGGAUCCCCAGGGUUUCCAGUUCUUCUAUCCGGAAGUGUAACAGAAGAUCAUGUUAGGUUAUCAUGUCAAAUUCUGUGGCUCACUGCAUUAGGAGGUUACCUUAUGGAGAAGAUGAAGAGCAAAAGAAGUAUGCAUCCCUCUCUUGGACCACAUGGCCCAGAUAGGCAGAGGACAAAGCUUCACCAUAUCAUUCUUAAACACAGCAACCAAGUUCCGCUGCUAUUCCCCGAGCAGCAUGGUGCAGUGUUAUUACUGUCUCCAGAUGCCCACGUUCUGGACCAGCAGCACAGCCCCCACAUAAAAGAGAAUCCUGAGGAAAUGUGA
This 352-nucleotide long non-coding RNA is filed under the name Vulpes vulpes (red fox). Its description in RNAcentral is "lncRNA (ENSVVUG00000012590.1)". Lineage: Eukaryota; Metazoa; Chordata; Mammalia; Carnivora; Canidae. The record is from RNAcentral.